AUCGUUUGCGAUUUCAUACAUCGCCGCCUGAUUUGGGGUUUUUCGAUGACGGAAAUCAAGGCCAUUGGAGUCGUCGGCGGCGGUCAAAUGGGCUCCGGAAUUGCCCAACUCGCCGCCACACACGGCCAUGAAGUUUGGCUAAUUGAUUCAGACCCUUCCGCUCUUGCUAAAGCGUCCGACUCCAUUUCUUCCUCAAUCCAACGCCUGGUCUCCAGAAAACUUCUCUCUCG
This 230-nucleotide unclassified non-coding RNA is filed under the name Hevea brasiliensis (rubber tree). The record is from RNAcentral. Lineage: Eukaryota; Viridiplantae; Streptophyta; Magnoliopsida; Malpighiales; Euphorbiaceae.